AAGCACUGCAAAAAAAAACAAAAGACGAAACGUAACUCUUAGAUACAGAGCGAAAAUGAAGUAGACUAAAUUAAUGCUAUGGGAAAAUGGAUCUGUAUGCUGCCUUCUCAAUGUGUGUGUCUGUGUGUGUGUGUGUGUGUGUGUGUGUGACUGAGUGCACUCACAGCUGCUUUGAUUAGAUUACAUGCUCGGCUCUUUCAUUAUACUCUGCUGUCCAGAUUUCAGUUGGAAUAAAGCCUGCGGCUUUGUUUUUGCGAUAUACUUGAGCAGAAUGCUGCAUGCAAAGUUCUUGCUCGAAGGACGAAGACAGGGACUGCAGCAGAGGAGCUGACAGGCGGCAGCAUGUGUAUGACAACAAUUUAUGAACGGUUUGGCGUUGAAAAUUUUUGGAAAAGGUUGAUGACAACACAAGUAGAAGGGGAUUGACUCUGCCACACACCAAAUAUGCAUAAGAGGCGGGUUUUUAUCAAAAGACUCUUCUCUUUUUUGCUGUGCAAAGUUUGCUGGCACAAAAAAAAAGAAGUGUUUUGUGGCUAAGCAAAUACUUGCUGACAGUCAAAUAUUUAAUUUUCGAUAUCUUAUCAUUAUCUUUGUAAUUCAACAGUCCUCUUUUCUUCCGGAUAUUGAGUUAUUUAUAUGUAUACACUUUCAUGCUGCAUACCAAUUGCAAAUAAACGCCAACUGACUUAAUUUUUGUCAAGAAAA
Drosophila virilis is the source of this 705-nucleotide long non-coding RNA. RefSeq lists it as uncharacterized. The record is from RefSeq and is a predicted model, not a curated record. NCBI's taxonomy places the organism in Eukaryota, Metazoa, Arthropoda, Insecta, Diptera, Drosophilidae.